AGAGCUGGAAGGGAGGCAAGAUGUUGGCAUAGCUGUAGACCUAAAAACCUGCUAUGCCAACAUAUUGUCAUCUUUCCUC
Molecule: non-coding RNA, 79 nt
Organism: Patagioenas fasciata monilis
Lineage: Eukaryota; Metazoa; Chordata; Aves; Columbiformes; Columbidae
Source: Rfam